GUUUCCUAUAUCUCAGCAAGAAGUUAAGUGUCAAUCAAUAAAAGUAGGUGAUCAUCAGACAUGUUUUUGAUUUUAAAGCUUGGACAAGUUCUUUGUUUUGUGUUUGCCUUUUUUUUUUUUUGCUUUGUCAUUUUAUCUUACACAGCUGGUUUGUGACAGAUUCAGAAGUCAGCACUCAAGAGAAGGUCAGAACAAUGGCCUCUGACCUACUGUGGAUCAAGACAACAGUGUCAGGGGCUCUGUCCUCCCCAACAACCUGGUUUACUCCAGGGAAUCCCCUCCCCAUGUGACAUUCCUCCAGGACACUCAACACCUCCUGUUCCCUCUCCUCUCCUUCACCACUGCACCAAGCUGUGCCCUUCAUCCACCAAGCAUGCAAAACA
RNAcentral lists this long non-coding RNA (383 nucleotides) under Capra hircus (goat). Its description in RNAcentral is "lncRNA (ENSCHIG00000008217.1)". Lineage: Eukaryota; Metazoa; Chordata; Mammalia; Artiodactyla; Bovidae. The record is from RNAcentral.